Molecule: ribosomal RNA, 465 nt
Filed under: uncultured bacterium
Lineage: Bacteria
Description: partial 16S ribosomal RNA
Rfam family: Bacterial small subunit ribosomal RNA
Source: RNAcentral
CCUACGGGUGGCAGCAGUGGGGAAUAUUGCGCAAUGGGCGAAAGCCUGAUGCAGCGACGCCGCGUGAGUGAUGAAGGCCUUCGGAUUGUAAACCUCUGUCAGCAGGGAAGAACGGUCACUGUGCUAAUCAGCAGUGAAUUGACGGUACCUGCACAGGAAGUACCGGCUAACUCCGUGCCAGCAGCCGCGGUAAUACGGAGGGUGCGAGCGUUAAUCGGAAUUACUGGGCGUAAAGCGCGCGGAGGCGGUAUUGCAAGUCAAGGGUGAAAUCCCCGCGCUUAACGUGGGAACUGCCUUUGAGACUGGGUAACUAGAGUGUUUGAGAGGAUAGUGGAAUUCCAGGUGUAGGAGUGAAAUCCGUAGAGAUCUGGAGGAACAUCGGUGGCGAAGGCGACUAUCUGGCAAAUAACUGACGCUGAGGAGCGAAAGCGUGGGUAGCAAACAGGAUUAGAUACCCCUGUAGUC